AGUGAACGCUGGCGGCAGGCCUAACACAUGCAAGUCGAGCGGCAGCGCGUCCGACCACCCUCGGGUGGUCGGAUGGCGGCGAGCGGCGGACGGGUGAGGAAUGCAUCGGAAUCUGCCUCGUUGUGGGGGAUAACGUAGGGAAACUUACGCUAAUACCGCAUACGACCUACGGGUGAAAGUGGGGGACCUUCGGGCCUCACGCGAUGAGAUGAGCCGAUGCCCGGAUUAGCUAGUUGGCGGGGUAAAGGCCCACCAAGGCGACGAUCCGUAGCUGGUCUGAGAGGAUGAUCAGCCACACUGGAACUGAGACACGGUCCAGACUCCUACGGGA
RNAcentral lists this ribosomal RNA (331 nucleotides) under uncultured bacterium. Its description in RNAcentral is "bacterial SSU rRNA". It matches the Rfam family "Bacterial small subunit ribosomal RNA", at positions 28 to 346 of the family's 1533-position model. The record is from RNAcentral.